GGGCUGAAAGGUUGUCUGAACUUGCACGGGAAUCAAGAUUCAAAAGGGAUUCAGCGUCAAACCAGCUUCUGUGUUUGUACCAGGGGGCUUCGAGCACAAUACUCAGGCAGGGUCUGGCCGUAAGUGAUCAAAUGGGCUUCAUCUUCUAACGAAUCAAACAUGCAGUUUUCUUUGGAACCAUCCGAAAUCAUUAAUGAAAGGCCAUAAAACCAAGGAAGUUUCUGAUGGAAACUGCAACUUUAUUAACUCUUGCAAACAAGGAUCUUGUUGCAAGCUCAAACGCGUAGGACUCACAUGACUAAGAUGAUUUGACAUGCCGGCUUUAGGUCACGUUUGUAUAUGAGGCUAGGUCUUAUUUAUAGAAUUGCAUAUUGGUUUCCAAGUACCUCUUAAUGCGUUCUUGGGCUUGCACACACGCAUUGAACUCAUAGCCUAAAAUUAAGGAGCACAUUUUUCUUUUAAAGAAUCAUUCUUAUUCACAGCGAAUUCUGCAUGGUUAGAUGCUGGGGUUCAACUUUAUUUCUUUAACUAUUCAAAAGUUAAAAGUACACACGAAAUUUGUAUGUAAUUUUAUUUUAGACUUUGUGAAAAUAAAAUUGAAUUAAACUAAAUGGGACAUGAAUAUUAUUAUCUCAGCCAACAGGGACAAGAAAAUCCAUUUUAACUUAGCUUUAACCCCAUUCAUUGAGCCAUCACAAUCACUUAGGUUACAUUUUCACCAAACAUGAAGUGCCAAAUUCUAUGGUGUUUAAGAGGCAUUUCAAAGUAAUUUUUUAAUAUUUCAUAUAAUGCAACUGUCUCCUCGUUUCUCAAAUGAAAAAAAAAAAA
Molecule: non-coding RNA, 828 nt
Organism: Carica papaya (papaya)
Lineage: Eukaryota; Viridiplantae; Streptophyta; Magnoliopsida; Brassicales; Caricaceae
Source: RefSeq, a predicted model, not a curated record